Molecule: ribosomal RNA, 548 nt
Filed under: Quasimitra sophiae
Lineage: Eukaryota; Metazoa; Mollusca; Gastropoda; Neogastropoda; Mitridae
Description: Mitra sophiae partial 16S ribosomal RNA
Rfam family: Bacterial large subunit ribosomal RNA
Source: RNAcentral
GCCUGUUUAUCAAAAACAUCGCUCCUUGUGUCCUAUAAAUAGGGAGUCGGACCUGCCCAGUGAAUUUUUAACGGCCGCGGUACUCUGACCGUGCAAAGGUAGCAUAAUAAUUUGCCUUAUAAUUGAAGGCUGGUAUGAAUGGUUUGACGAGAAUAAAGCUGUCUCUUUAUAAUUCACCAGAAAUUUAUUUGCAGAUGAAAAAGUCUGCAUAGUAUUAAAAGACAAGAAGACCCUAUCGAGCUUAAAAAAAUUUAGUAGGAUAUAAAUAAGCUAAUUAAACCUAAAAAGCCAUCUACUAAAGAUUUUAGUUGGGGCGACCGAGGAACAAACAAAGCUUCCUCAAAUAUUUUCCUUACUGAUUAGUAAUGAUCCAGAAGCUUCUGAUUAAUAAAAUUAGUUACCGUAGGGAUAACAGCAUUAUCUUUUUUGAGAGCUCUUAUCGAAAAAAAGGUUUGUGACCUCGAUGUUGGACCAGAAUGUCCUAAAGAUGCAGCAGUCUUUAAGGGUUGGUCUGUUCGACCAUUAAUAUUCUACGUGAUCUGAGUUCA